UGCGUAGGUGGCGAGGUAAGUCGGAUGUGAAAGCUCGGAGCUCAACUCCGAAAUGGCAUUGGAAACUACCUUGCUCGAGGGUUGGGAGGGGGGACUGGAAUACUUGGUGUAGCAGUGAAAUGCGUAGAUAUCAAGUGGAACACCAGUGGCGAAGGCGAGUCCCUGGACAACUCCUGACACUGAGGCACGAAAGGCUGGGAAGCAAAACCAG
This 211-nucleotide ribosomal RNA is filed under the name uncultured bacterium. Its description in RNAcentral is "partial 16S ribosomal RNA". It matches the Rfam family "Bacterial small subunit ribosomal RNA", at positions 568 to 776 of the family's 1533-position model. The record is from RNAcentral.